AGUUCUCGAAGUUGACGUGUUGGAAGCAGGGAAAAAAAAAGGAUCUGAGCGACUUUUACACGGCGCAGGCUGUGACGGCCAGAUGACCGGGUCAGAACAUCUCCAGAACAGCAGGUCUUGUGGGGGGAUCCAGGUACGCAGUGGGUAGUACCUAGACCCCUCUCAAUCCGAUCGAGCGUGUGUGGGAUGUUCUGGGCAAACAAGUCCGAGCCAUGGAGGCCCCACGUCAGAACGUACAGGACUUGGUCUUCAGACCUCCGGAGGUCUUGUGGAGUCCAUGGUUCGAUGGGUGAGAGAGCUGUUUUGGUGGGAUCUACACGGGGUGGUUUUAAUGUUAUGGCUGAUCGAUGUGUGUGUGUGUGUGUGUUUUCUAAAAUCUGUCAUAUUUUAGUUGAAAAACUUUUCAGCAGUCCAAAUGUCCAAAUGAAUUAGAAUUUUCAUUCAGUUUCUUUGAUUAAUCAAUUCGCCAGACGAUCUGGGUCUGUUUUACGGUGACGUACGGAUGUGAGGUCGGAUUUUUGUGAACGGAUCGCGUUAAUUAAAAAGCGCAGAAACCGUGUCGGAGAGGGCUAAUCGGAUUAAGGGGAAACGUCGAGGCGGAAUUGUAUUAAUUAUGUCAUGUUGAAUGACGGUGACGUGAUAUUUAAUGAACGGGAACGGACGACUGUCACGUUGCGGUGUCUUGAAUUUGUUCCACUUUUAAAAAAAUAAAUAAAUAAAUGAGUAAAAACGCACGGCUGUGAACACAGGAAAGCUGGAGACGUUUGCCGUGUAAAUCACUUCCUGUCUUCGGUAUCUGAUGUAUGACUUUCUUAAUGAUGGUUAAGGUUGGCUGUGAUUGGCUUUCUCUCGCAGAGCGCGUUAAUCCACAGAGACGCUUUCUGCUUGCUCUUAAGUGGCAGCGUGUCGAUGUCGGGACCCAGGAGGCCUUCGUUUGAAAUGGUCAGGAAACAAGGCUGAAAUGUAAUUAACCCUCAUCACAAUGAGGUCACAGACGAACCUUACUGAUCCUCCCCAGGUCAUCGCUAAUUAGCGCAAACUUAGCAUUAUCGUCUGCUAAAUGCCAGAACGCCAUAAUCACUAAAUAACAAUAAAGGUGAUUGCUUUGACUCUUUUUUCUUCUUCUCAUAUUCAGCUCACACAGUGGGUGGUGUCGCCUAUUUUUGGCUCGUUUCUUUUUGUUUGUUUGUAUUUUUGGAAAUGUUUCCCAGCGGAUCAGUCUGAAGAUGUCUUUUUGGAGAAGGUGAUCCGGGCUUUUUUUCUGUCAUCGUCGACUACAGACAAUGACUCAGUCGAUGAAGAUGUGCUUGGACAUGUAAUUACGAUCGGUGAAGUAGGCUCGAGAUGCAGAAGCCGCACGGAUAACACAGGAAUGUUAAGAGAUGAUAAAUGGAUUAUUUUUUAAAAAUCAUUAUCAUGUACGGCUGUUCUGAUCCAGAUAGGACUAGUGUAUGGCUGUUCUGAUCCAGACAGGACUAGUGUAUGGCUGUUCUGAUCCAGACAGGGUGUUCUGAUCCAGACAGGACUAGUGUAUGGCUGUUCUGAUCCAGACAGGACUAGCGUGCGGCCGUUCUGAUCCAGACAGGACUAGUGUAUGGCUGUUCUGAUCCAGACAGGACUAGUGUAUGGCUGUUCUGAUCCAGACAGGACUAGUGUAUGGCUGUUCUGAUCCAGACAGGACUAGUGUAUGGCUGUUCUGAUCCAGACAGGACUAGUGUAUGGCCGUUCUGAUCCAGACAGGACUAGCGUGCGGCCGUUCUGAUCCAGACAGGACUAGCGUGCGGCCGUUCUGAUCCAGACAGGACUAGCGUGCGGCCGUUCUGAUCCAGACAGGACUAGUGUACAUAAAAGUACGUAAAAAUUCCCCAAAAUAUUAUUUCAAUCCAAAAUCCAGCGCUAAUGGUUUCAAUCCAAGCACUGAUCUGAGCAGUUGAAGGUUAAGAGCCUCAUCCAUUUCUUCUGUCCACCAAAUAUGUAGUGGAUUUCUGUUGGCUCUUGAACAGGAACAGGAAUCUGAGGCUCCAGUGGACACAGGCUCGAGAUGAAUUGGACAAAGACCAGACGACGUUGUUGCAGUCUUUAACUGUCCAGUUUUAUAGGCAGCUCUUUGGAUUGUCCUGAAAGCCAUUCUCAAUGUAGGACCUACUGUAAUACCAGAGGAAAGAUGUGUGGAGAUAUUGUGUUGAACUCCCAGGAUUCUACAUUCGAUGUGGACUGUAGAGAUCGGUUGGUAGCUUCUUGGCAAUGAUUUUUGCUGUUCUUCAUGUAUUUGGGAUUUAGCUCACAUCUAUGAUGUAAAAUUGAGUCAAUCAGGCUGGAGCUGGAGAUCCCAUAUGCUUCAUGAUCAUACUGUAAUAUCCAGCGGUGUUUGCGCGUUUCAACCCCUACAAGACUUUUUCCGGUUCAGGAACCUCAGAAAGCCUCGGGGCGACUUUGAUGACUUUCGCGACUUUCAUGACUUUCCUUUCCAGGCUGUGAGCAGUGCGCAUUUUACAGCUUGUUUACGAUCGCUCUUUUGUGCCUCCUCCAAAAGGAGACGUGGUUGGGUGUGACAGAUAAAGAUGAAUUUCUGCACAGCUCUGCCUUGACAGAUUACACUUCAGCUGUUUCCACUCAAAGCUGUGGGAUUUUGCUUUGCCACUACACUGAAAUAUCGGCUAACGGUUAGGGAUGUCGCUAACCGAAUACGAACACAUUCUCAACAUACGUUCUUAACAUAUACACAUUUCUUUUAGGAAAAAGAAAACCAAAAACUACAAACGUCCAAACCUACAAUCAUGAAUGCGCCACAACAAAAUUUAGCACAUCUACGCCUGGGGUUCCCAAACUAGGGGUCUUGACCCAUCAUGGGAUCCCUAUGGUUUACGAAUAAUCUUGUGAAAGAAACUCACAGCCUACUAUUGUGUUUCAUUCAUUUAUUCUACGAUUUAAUAUUAGAAAUAUCGGCGAUGGAUUUUGUACACUGAUCUUUUGAAAUGUUACUGGGUGUUACAUUCAGACAAGCUGCAUUUAAACUCAUAGCGUACAUGUCGUCCGAGUCUUUUCACUAUCCGGACAUGCUGCGCUAGCGUAGUUCAGCGAUAAAAAUCAACAAAUUUCCCAGUCCAUCUACCGCCACUAAACAAAUCAGCGUCGUAUCUCAACACGCAUACUUGCGUAUGAUUCUAGACCGUUACUGAGCACUAACCCUAACCCUAUUUUCUUAUUACAGUGUAGUGUUCGGAAUGUAACUAACGAGCCUUAAAACAUACCGA
Long non-coding RNA from Ictalurus punctatus (channel catfish), 3254 nucleotides. NCBI's taxonomy places the organism in Eukaryota, Metazoa, Chordata, Actinopteri, Siluriformes, Ictaluridae. The record is from Ensembl.